This 327-nucleotide ribosomal RNA is filed under the name uncultured eukaryote. RNAcentral describes it as "partial 18S ribosomal RNA". It matches the Rfam family "Eukaryotic small subunit ribosomal RNA", at positions 1470 to 1796 of the family's 1831-position model. The record is from RNAcentral.
CCCUUAGAUGUUCUGGGCCGCACGCGCGCUACACUGAUUCAUGCAACAAGGUUUGUCCUUGGCUGAUAGGCCUGGGUAAUCUUUGAACGUGAAUCGUGAUGGGGAUAGAUGAUUGCAAUUAUUCAUCUUCAACGAGGAAUUCCUAGUAAACGCAAGUCAUCAGCUUGCAUUGAUUACGUCCCUGCCCUUUGUACACACCGCCCGUCGCACCUACCGAUUGAAUGGUCCGGUGAAAUCUUCGGAUCUGAGAGAUGUCUGAUUAAUUUCGGACGCCUUUUGGAAAAGUUGCUUAAACCUUACCAUUUAGAGGAAGGUGAAGUCGUAACA